This 20-nucleotide small nuclear RNA is filed under the name Arabidopsis thaliana (thale cress). RNAcentral's name for it is "snRNA_08022". The record is from RNAcentral. Lineage: Eukaryota; Viridiplantae; Streptophyta; Magnoliopsida; Brassicales; Brassicaceae.
AGGUUAUUACAUUAGGAACC